Long non-coding RNA from Anolis carolinensis (green anole), 2302 nucleotides. RefSeq lists it as uncharacterized. NCBI's taxonomy places the organism in Eukaryota, Metazoa, Chordata, Lepidosauria, Squamata, Anolidae. The transcript has 2 exons. The record is from RefSeq and is a predicted model, not a curated record.
AGCACUUGGUCAGAAAAUCCCAACAAACAGUUAACUCGGCUUUAUUCUACACAACACACUUUCACAGUUGUUACUGGAAUAAAAUGUGCCUGGUUUGGCAAUGAAAGAGCAGAACUAUUGGAUAUUGUUAUGCAACUCAGUGUCUUCAAGGGUGACUUGUAACUUGUUCUUUAUUCAGCCAGUGCCAACUGCAUGUUUAAUCAAUGUCACCACUCACUACAGUCUGCAACUGAAGCCGCUGUCAUUCCACUCCUCAGAUCUGACUGGCUGCUAAGUUAUGCAAUGCUCUCAAGAAUGCCUUGGAAUUAUUUGUCAGAUGCUUUGAAUGCAAGUGUGUAACAACCCUAGAGCAAACAGAAAACUUCGUUCCUUCUGGACCACAAAUGCGAAUGACUGCUCUAAUAUCACCCGCGAUCUUUGGAUUUACAACUCAGCAACAUGAAAGAAGCCUCUUCAGAGAGUUAACAAGACCGAGAGAGCAUGUUAAAUUACCAUAACAUUGGAAUGUCUUGGGGAAGUGCUACACAUAUAGCCAUGAGAUAUCACAUUUUAACGAGAAGACUCAAUGAUGUUUUUACUGCUUACACAUUCUAUGGAAGAAUCCAGGAUUUUAAAAGGAGAUAAAUAUAUAACCUGGACACGGAGAACAGGGGAUUCUUUCUUGACACCACAUUGUUUCAGUGGAUAACUGAAACAAGGCCUGCAUUUCUUUGAAGAUUUUAUCUCGUGUAGCACAUCUACAGCUUCAUUCAUCAAAACACUGUUCAUGCUUGCAUGUAAUUUCUGCUCUGAGUGAAAAGAACAGUCCUCCAUGAAGAUAAGGCUGUUUCUCCACUGCAGUGAGGAGUAAGCAGCAUGUCUGAUGAGAUUUUAUUCCUGAUGCAAUGUAGGCUAUCAGUCAGAACACUGGUGAAGAUUUUUGCAGAAAAGAUGAGGAGCUCUGCCAUCACAACAUUAGAAGAUGUGAAAAGGCAAGAAGAGAGUGAGGAAAAGGAGGAAUCUAUUUUAGCUCUGUUAGGAAUAAUUGGAACAGUACUUAAUCUAUUUGUAAUUGUUUUUGUCUACGUAUAUACAACCCUUUGAUGGCUUUCUAGCAACUCAGAAGACCAGCAAUGGCAAAAAGAAACAUGGAACAUCAAUCAACAGGAAAAAGAGGCUUAAAGAAAAAAACACAUUCCAGAAAGAAGUGCCCAUUUUAGGGCACUACAUCAACAACUGUAAAAUGCAUCUAUGAACUCAGUUAAACUAUAUAAAAGAAGACUGCUACAUAUUAAACUCUCACUGAUGACUGCUGGAAGUUCAGACACUCAUAACACAUGCUUCCUCUCCCCUCCCUGGCAAUUAAUAUGCAAGAUGUUGUUAACAUAUGCAGGACAAAAACUAAAGGUAAUGGGUGCCAUAAAAUCUUCCUAUGUUUUACUUACUUGAUUCCCAUUAUACCUUUGGAUUUGUAAUUAUGUACCUCUAUGUAGGUGACAGCUGGGUUAGAAAUGAGACCAUUUCAAAACCAUCAUUAUGUGCUAAAGUUACAUAAAUAUAUACAAAGUGUAGAAAGAACAGCAAUGUUAAGUACUGUAUUGUAAGUAAAUAAAAUUUCAAUUAACUACCUUCCAAAAUACUUUUAAUUUUCAUAUUGCUGACUGCUGUGCCAGAUAUUCUUGUCCUUACGUUUACAAUUCACAUUUAUGCUUGUAAACUAUACUCUAUUCAAAAAACAUUUUAUAAUACCAGGAACGGGAUUUUUAAAAAUAUUUGUACUAAAAAAUAUAGAUCCAUCCUUGCAAUCAUUUUAGUACAUUUUUAAAGCCAUUCCUUCAGAGGUGGCAAUAAAGCAAAUUUAUUACAAUUUUAAGUGAACAAAAUAUUUGGAACUAGCUAUUUAAACUCUGAAUUCAACCAAUUCAACCAGAGAAGAACUCAGAUCAACUAGAAUUUCAACCUGUAAAAAAAACCCAACCCCCUAGAGAUUUCUAAUCUUUUCCUCUAAACUAUUCAUUGUACAUAGCUUGGAUUCUCCAGAGAUCUUUCACAUAUUCCAUCUAAUCGAGGAGAAUUAUUCUGAAGUGUAAGGAUUCAAAGUCAUGGUAGGAUCUCUCCAACUACAAUCCAGUGUUCAGUUAUUUGGAAAUAAGUUGCAUUGAACCAACAAGUCUUAAUUCUUUUAAGAAGGCAAAUGUGCAUAUAAUUUUUUUCCAGAUUCCAUUUGUAAGUCAAACAUUUCUCUAAAAGACUAUGCUUUAUACGCCAUGCCCUCCUUUGUCUGCAGCUUUUAAAAUAAAAAUUUGCAAUACUGAAAACUUCA